Molecule: small RNA, 107 nt
Filed under: Marmota monax (woodchuck)
Lineage: Eukaryota; Metazoa; Chordata; Mammalia; Rodentia; Sciuridae
Source: RNAcentral
GCCUGGCAGGGUGGCGCAUGCCUGCAAUCCCAGUGACUCAGGAGGCCGAGGCGGGAGGAUCAUGAGUUUGAGGCCAGCCUUAGAAACUUUGCAAGACCCUGUCUCAA